This 2240-nucleotide ribosomal RNA is filed under the name Thereuonema tuberculata. Its description in RNAcentral is "eukaryotic LSU rRNA". It matches the Rfam family "Eukaryotic large subunit ribosomal RNA", at positions 43 to 1866 of the family's 3401-position model. Lineage: Eukaryota; Metazoa; Arthropoda; Chilopoda; Scutigeromorpha; Scutigeridae. The record is from RNAcentral.
UAACUAAGCGGAGGAAAAGAAACUAACAAGGAUUCCCUUAGUAACGGCGAGUGAACAGGGAAGAGCCCAGCGCCGAAGCCUCCGUCCCGAGCGGGCGGCAGGCAAUGUGGCGUUUGGGAGAAACCACUCCUUCCGGAAGCAGUCCGAGAGUCCAGGUCCCCCUGACCGGGGCCAUCGCCCGUCGAGGGUGCAAGGCCCGUUCGGCUUUCGGCGUCCGGAGGACGGUUCUUCUCUCCCGGGAGUCGGGUUGCUUGGGAGUGCAGCCCUAAGCGGGUGGUAAACUCCAUCUAAGGCUAAAUACUUCCACGAGACCGAUAGCAAACAAGUACCGUGAGGGAAAGUUGCAAAGAACUUUGAAGAGAGAGUUCAAGAGUACGUGAAACCGCUCGUAGGCAAACGGGUGGGCCCUCGAAGGCAAGCAGAAGGGGAUUCAACCCGUUGGCAGUCGACCGCGCACCCCGGUUUUUCUCGAAACGGAUCCGAGAGACCGGCCCGGGGUUCUGCUGCAGUCGUCAGCGGGCGCACUUCCCCUUCUCGCGUCCCGUCGAGCAAUCGGCGGGACCGAACGCCGCGACCGGUCGGGAGAAACGACGGCGGCCAAGCGGCGAGACCGGGCAGGUAUCCUACUCGUCUUUUCCGUUUCCUCACGGGGCGGGACUGCUUGUAGGAGAUUAGCCCGUCUCGACCCGGCUCCGCCGCCCGACCGUGGUCUAGAACCGAGGUUCGAUAACCGCGCAUGCGCCUACGACGCUCGAGCACGUCUCGCACGUAGGGUCAGACCGCCGACAGAUUCCAAAUCCCCCCCGCUCACCGGCGGUUACACGAAGCGGUCUCCCUGCGUCGCGUCGGACGUUGGCUCUCGUUUGCAGCGCUUGUGGUCGGCGGCGAGUAGGUCGGUAACCCACCCGACCCGUCUUGAAACACGGACCAAGGAGUCUAACAUGUGUGCGAGUCGUAGGGUUCCCACGAAACCCGAAGGCGAAGUGAAAGUAUAGGCCGGUUCAAUCCGGCCGAGGCGGGAUCUGCCCUCUUUCUCUCCUCUCUGCGGGGGGAGCGAGGGGCAGCGCACCGCCGGCCCGUCUCGACCGCUGCGUCGGUGAGGCGGAGCAAGAGCAUACACGUUGGGACCCGAAAGAUGGUGAACUAUUCCUAGGCAGGACGAAGCCAGAGGAAACUCUGGUGGAGGUCCGUAGCGUUUCUGACGUGCAAAUCGAUCGUCAGACCUGGGUAUAGGGGCGAAAGACUAAUCGAACCAUCUAGUAGCUGGUUCCCUCCGAAGUUUCCCUCAGGAUAGCUGGCUCUCGAGAGACACAGUCUCAUCCGGUAAAGCGAAUGAUUAGAGGCCUUGGGGCCGAAACGACCUCAACCUAUUCUCAAACUUUCAAUGGGUGAGAAGUCCGGCUUGCUCGACUGAAGCCCGGACGUCGGAUGCGAGUGCCCAGUGGGCCACUUUUGGUAAGCAGAACUGGCGCUGUGGGAUGAACCAAACGCCGGGUUACGGCGCCAAAUGCGACGCUCAUCAGACACCAUGAAAGGUGUUGGUUGCUAUAGACAGCAGGACGGUGGCCAUGGAAGUCGGAAUCCGCUAAGGAGUGUGUAACAACUCACCUGCCGAAGCAACUAGCCCUGAAAAUGGAUGGCGCUCAAGCGUCGAGCCUAUACCCGGCCGCCGGGGCAGAGCCCGUCCCGAACGGCCCCAGAAGCCCCGGCGAGUAGGAGGGUCGCGGCGGUGAGCGGAAAAGGGUCGGGCGCAGGCCCGCCUGGAGCCACCGCCGGUGCAGAUCUUGGUGGUAGUAGCAAAUACUCGAGUGAGAACCUUGAGGACUGAUGUGGAGAAGGGUUCCAUGUGAACAGCAGUUGAACAUGGGUCAGUCGGCCCUAAGGAAUAGGGAAAUCCCGUUCCGAACGGGGGGUGUUUAGUAACAAAUAUAACAAAACCCCCGCUUCAACCGAAAGGGAAUCGGGUUAAUAUUCCCGAACCCGGACACGGAGAUCGGGCCCUCUGGGUCCAGUGCGGUGACGCAAACGCCCUCGGAGACGUCGGCGGGAGUCCCGGGAAGAGUUGUCUUUUCUUUGUAAGGAACGGAAUCCCUGGAAUCGGUUCGCCCGGAGAUAGGGAUGUGGUUUCCGUAAAGCACCGCGCCUCCUGCGGUGUCCGGACAGCUCUCGUCGGCCCUUGAAAAUCCGAGGAAGGUAGUGCGAUUUUCGUGCCGGGCCGUACCCAUAUCCGCAGCAGGUCU